Molecule: long non-coding RNA, 861 nt
Organism: Mya arenaria
Lineage: Eukaryota; Metazoa; Mollusca; Bivalvia; Myida; Myidae
Exons: 2
Source: RefSeq, a predicted model, not a curated record
UAUGGGUACGAAAGGUGAGUUUUCCGGAAGUGUAAAUCCGGAAAUUAACGAACAUAGUCACGUCUUGCCAAUCGAGCUAUAUGAUUGGUUAAGAUAGCGUCGGGUUAUUACGGAAAUUACCGAUCGGACAAGAAAACAGUAUCCGGAUGGUUCGUAUCCGGAUAUGACAGACGACGAAGAUUAAUAAACGAGUAUUGGAAAAACACGACCACAACUUCUAAAAACAUCGAUUCGUCGAUUAAAAGGUAUGUUGAUGGUUCCAAAAGUCAGGGAUGAACAGACACCUCAGCCAGUGCAUCCGGUUGUUCCUGUCAAUGACCGACAAUUCAAUUCAGAUGCCAUGAUUCUUGGAUUUAUGGCUGAACAUGACCUUCCAUACCCCUGGUAGCACAUGUAGUGAGUCUUACUUAAGACACUUGCCAAAGAUACAAAAGCUCUCAGCGAAUUAAAACUUCAAAGGUGUACAGCAUCAUAUAAGAUGACUUCCGGAGAGGCAAGCCAUUUCAAUGAUGAACUUGUUGAGGAGUUAAGUGAUAUUCGGUGUGUGCUACUGGACACCUGUAACAUCAUGAGGAGAAAAAAUCCGGCUUGGAGACCAGAAUACGUCAACUUGUCCCUCACCUCAUAGACAUUGAUGGUGACACAGCCCGCCAUGUCCACAACGGUUACCCUGCCAAAGCAUUUACAGUCCCAUUUGGAUAUUACUAGGAAUUCCGAAUAAUAAUUAGUAUAAUAUAUAAUAAUUAAUAAUAUUAUAUUCUCAUCAAAUGUGCAGAUAAUGGAAUAAAUAUUCUUAUAUCUGAUAUAUAAAAUUUGAAUAAAUAACACUUUACAAUAAACAUUUGCAAGUUUGAUAUUUGA